UGAGUUCGCCAGCUGCCCAAGACACUCCUCAACCACUUGGGCCAUCCCUUCCCAACUUUGUUGUUAUUGGACGCGAGCCUGUUCAACUGACAUGUCCUCAAUGCCAACAGGUGGUUAAGAGCAAAGUAAAACAUGAAGUGGGCGUGGGGACAUAUUUGAUUGCUGCUGCAAUAGCCUUCGUUACUGGUUGUCUAUGUUGCUGGAUUGCAUGUGUGACAAAUGCAUGUAAAGAUGUGGUUCACUCUUGCCCAUCAUGUAAAUACGUCAUCUGCAGAAGACUCUUCAUGUAGGGGGCUGUGAUAAAUCUUCUCAAACAGUUUUUAUCAAUAUCACGGCAUUCAUACCAAUCGAAGUGAAAAUGAGAUUUUCCUUGAUGAUUAGCAUAAUCAGUAUUCAACAACCUGAACAGACCAUCGACACAAGGCAAAACAGUUCACAAUGUAAAGUUCUUCAAAGUUCUUUAUUCUGAAAGAUCUUCACCUGAGGGAUAAUUGCUUAAGGUUGACAUUCCAUUCAUUUUACAUGAAGUAGAAUACAGAACUUAUGGAAACUAGAAAGUGGUGUAUAUUUUAUUGAUUUUGACUUUGCUUUCAUAACUGCAUGGGUUUUCAGUUAAUGAUGUAUUAUGUAUUUAUUUAUUGGUAUAGCUGUUGUUGUAUUGUUUUUAUUUCAUAUUAUAUUGCUGAUUAAUCAAUGUACUAAUUGACUUCUUAUGUCGAACGAACGUUUUUAUCAUAAUUUUUACGGUUAUAAUUUAUCAUUAAAAUUGUGUUAAAUUUAUUUGUUAUUGAAAUUUUAUAAUGUUUGACACUUUAUUAUUGUUCAUUUUAUGUGCUGCUGUAUUUUGUUU
Molecule: long non-coding RNA, 850 nt
Organism: Bolinopsis microptera
Lineage: Eukaryota; Metazoa; Ctenophora; Tentaculata; Lobata; Bolinopsidae
Exons: 3
Source: RefSeq, a predicted model, not a curated record